This 737-nucleotide ribosomal RNA is filed under the name Basidiobolus microsporus. RNAcentral's name for it is "partial large subunit ribosomal RNA". It matches the Rfam family "Eukaryotic large subunit ribosomal RNA", at positions 62 to 648 of the family's 3401-position model. Lineage: Eukaryota; Fungi; Basidiobolomycota; Basidiobolomycetes; Basidiobolales; Basidiobolaceae. The record is from RNAcentral.
AAACUAACAAGGAUUCCCCUAGUAACGGCGAGUGAAGCGGGAAGAGCUCAAAUUUAAAAUCUGUAAGGUUCAACCUUGCCGAGUUGUAGUUUGAAGAAGUGUUUUCCGCGGCGGCUGCAGUACAAAUCCUUUGGAACAGGGUAUCAGAGAGGGUGAGAAUCCCGUCUUUGACUGCAGACUAGUUGCACUGUGAUACACUUUCUAAGAGUCGAGUUGUUUGGGAAUGCAGCUCAAAAUGGGUGGUAAAUUUCAUCUAAAGCUAAAUAUUGGCAAGAGACCGAUAGCGAACAAGUACCGUGAGGGAAAGAUGAAAAGAACUUUGAAAAGAGAGUUAAAUAGUACGUGAAAUUGUUAAAAGGGAAACGCUUGAAGUCAGUGUUGCCGGCGGAAAAUCAGCUUCGUGCGGACGGCUUGUCGCGGUGGAGGGAGUGUCAAAGCCCCUUGCCGCGGCACAGCCGGGCGGAUGGAGUGCACUUUUCAGUCGGCAGGUCAACAUCAAUUUCAGCCGGUGGAAAAAUACAAGUGGAACGUAGGUUGGAGCAAUCCGACUGUUAUAGCCACUCGUGGAUACACCGGCGGGGAUUGAGGACAGCAGUGCAGGCCACUACGGCGGAAGCGCUUCUCUUUUCACAGGGGGGCACACCAAGACAGCAAGCUGACUUGGCGUGUACACCGCUGGGAACGGAGGGGCUGACUUCUCCUGCACUAAGGAUGUUGACGAAAUGGCUUUAAACGAC